UACGUAGGUGGCAAGCGUUAUCCGGAUUUACUGGGUGUAAAGGGCGUGUAGGCGGAGCUGCAAGUCAGAAGUGAAAUCUCCGGGCUCAACCCGGAAACUGCUUUUGAAACUGUAGCCCUUGAGUAUCGGAGAGGCAGGCGGAAUUCCUAGUGUAGCGGUGAAAUGCGUAGAUAUUAGGAGGAACACCAGUGGCGAAGGCGGCCUGCUGGACGACAACUGACGCUGAGGCGCGAAAGCGUGGGGAGCAAACAGG
Molecule: ribosomal RNA, 253 nt
Filed under: uncultured bacterium
Lineage: Bacteria
Description: partial 16S ribosomal RNA
Rfam family: Bacterial small subunit ribosomal RNA
Source: RNAcentral